UCAAACAGCUAUAUCACUCUGCAGCCCAAGACUGGUUACUCACUGAAGCUAAACAGGGCUGAGCCUGGUCAGUACCUGGAUGGGAGACAGCAUGGGGAAACUAGGCUGCUUUUGGAA
Molecule: ribosomal RNA, 117 nt
Filed under: Danio rerio (zebrafish)
Lineage: Eukaryota; Metazoa; Chordata; Actinopteri; Cypriniformes; Danionidae
Source: RNAcentral